This 11132-nucleotide long non-coding RNA is filed under the name Mytilus galloprovincialis (Mediterranean mussel). Lineage: Eukaryota; Metazoa; Mollusca; Bivalvia; Mytilida; Mytilidae. The record is from RNAcentral.
AUUUGAUCAGAACUGCGCAAUCGGCAUGUUACCAAUAACUAAAAACAAUAUAGACAUUUAAAUUGUUCUUAUGAAAUAAGUUAACUGCAGUACUGGUUCAGAUAUGGAUGCUGUUAUUUUCGUCAUACUUUUACUAAUUCAAGUAAUUGCUUUGGUAGACGGUAAGAACAUAAAUAUGUGUUUAUAUGUUUAGAAUAAACAAUUAUGUGAUAUAAUUUACAAUAAGUACUAUAUUGUGUCAUAGUUCUAAAACUUUCAUCGACAACUCAUAAUCAAAACGGUGUUGUCUCACACCAGAUGAAGACUAUUAUUGCGUAUUUAAAUAUAUUAAUUAAAAGUUAUUUUGACUAAUACAAUGUAUUCGUAUCACUAAUAAAACAUAAGAGUUUGUAUUUGUUUAAGCUAUAGUUGGAAAUAUUGGGUUUUUUCCACAUGCAUUUUUUUCUUUUGUUGUGUUAUUGUAUUUCGGCACUUUACUGGCUUUUGAAUUUUGAUAAUUGACUGCUUCCGUUGUAAAAUAUGAUACCGUCCUCUAGGGUUAUUUAGAUUGAUUAAAUUUUAGAAUUUGUGAAAUGUCUAAUAUCUUGUUACUUUCAUUCAUUGUAAUUAGCUCAGAAUUAUACUGUAAUAUAUUCUUGGUUGAUGUGAAACAUAUUAAUUUUCAGAAUAUUUGUUUUAUUCAUAUGAAUUAUGAAUUCGAAAUAUUAUCUGGAAAGCCAAUUGUUUAGCAAAAUGGCACAUCCUGAAUGUAUGCUUGUUAACCAAAGUCAUGGAAAUAUUGAAACAAAAUAGUUAUUCAAAUUAAAACCUGAUCGUAUUUUGAAUGAUAAAGGUCAUUUGCAUAUAAACUAAAUAUAAAGGAAGUAAAUAGUUGUCAUCUUUUAAAACAAGAACAAUUUAUCAAGUGAGAAAGAGUUAAAUAGCAAGUAAAUAGCAUUCAAACUUGUAGUUCAUGCAGUACAGCAAAAAUGGAUUCCUUAUUAUUCUUAAUUGGUAUAUUUGCGUUUAAAUUGUACAAAAAGAUAAUUGUAUAUGAAAUAUAUAUAUUUUCAUCCAUUUUUUAUGAACUGAACAUGUUUCUGCCUGUUAAAAAAAGUAUAUCUUUUUCAAAAUGUGAUUGAAAGGUUGACGACCUGGCUAGUUUGUAAGUGAGAGAAAAUUUGUUAUUAAUUAAUUUUUCUACAAUUGAAGCUCGUUCAACUUUUAUAGCCACAAAAUUAUUCUAAUAAAUAUACCCUCCUUUGUAAAAUUAAAUUAACGUUUGCAUAUUUUUCUAUUAAUUUUGAAAAGCGCUCUGGAUUCCCUAAAUUGAUAUCAAAUAUUAAUAAGGUUCGACUACUUGAAGCUGUUUUUUAAACGCAUCAAGUUACUAUGUCUUACAAACCUGCUCGUGCAUUUUUCAUUGUUAUUCAACGCAAAAUAAUUAUCUAAGAUACCUGGGACGAUCUCAUUUCACAAAGGAUUUCUUUUGUCUACUUAUUUUACCUAAUGCAUGUCUAAUUAGAUACACCCUCUUAAUAUCAGGGGGUUCGAAAUAGGAUCGGGAAAAACACCCAGCAAAAUACUAUAAUUUACUUAUAUUUUUAUUUAAAGUGCUUUUGGUUGCUUAAAUAUCUCCGAUCAAUAUUCAAACGGUAUUUAUAUAUCAAAUAAGCCAAAAGAACUUACCAAUUUAGCAAGGGUAUACUGAGGGACGGGAGAGGCCUAGAUAUUUCGAAGUUUCCAUACCCAUGUGAAUCAUUUGGUUUUGAAUAAAAUGAGCUAAGGGUAUAUAAUAAUUCGACAGCAACCCCAAGACACAAAUAAAUCAAAAUGUAUGGAGUCAACGUUCAUUCUUCUUUAUAUAUAUGAAUAAGGCCGUUGGUUUCUCGUUUUCUUCUUUUUUAUAUAAACAUUGAUAGGAUAAAUUGACAAACCACGUUCACUUAUGUAAAGACGAGUUUCUAGGUCUGUUUAAUUUCAUGUUAUCAUUUUAUAAAGUAUAUAAUCAUCGUUUAAACUGUACACCAAAGAAAUUUCGCAUUUUAGCAAUUAAAAAAGAGGAAUUUCAUAUUGGCGCCCUUGGUUCACUUUUCAAUGUUGACAUUCAUUUUUUUUUUUGUACAUGGUCAGCACAUGUGUUACUCGAGGUCAAAUUAAUUAACGUGUUUGUUUGACCCAUUAGGAAUUUUAACAAAUGACCUCCCCUCUCGAGGCGAACACCCCCACACUAGACCAACCAGGAGAGCAGUAGUUUUUUGGUAGUACAAAUUUUAUACCAAAAACGGAAGUACAAUACACAAUACAGUUUCACAGAAUUCUCACAGUUACUUAAGCGAGCUAAAAGUACCGAACCUAAAUUGCAUGCGUGAAAUGAUAUUGCAAACUACACGUAACCAUCGAUGGUCGACUUCAGGUUAGAUUUUAUGGAUUAACGCUCUCGGCAGAUUAAAAGUCUUGCGCCUAUUAUAUGAGUGAUCCGAAUGUGGCCAGCUGUUGUAAGUCUAAAUUUCUGUCCUUAUUAAAUAUAUCCUCAUUUUCCAGUGGUGUUUUAAAGUUUCACGUCCAACCUCACUGUCGAUCUCCUAUUGCACGACCUACCUAUUGUAUCUAAAAUUUAUGUGUUAUAGUCAUUUUAAAACAUUCAUGAAAUAUUUGCUACUGGACGUAAAGCAAACAACAAUCAAUCAAUUUAAUUAAUUUCCCUGUACUAGUACUGAGCACACAAAGACAAGAUCUUGUAAAUUGCUAUAAUGUACAAUUUCUAUUUAAAUUUUUAUGUUUUUUGUUUUUUGUUUUACUUUCUUCAACAUAUUACAUAACUGACUGCUUACUAAACAGUUUUAAAUAUUUGUUUUACUAUGGUUCAUAUCUACUGUUUUAAUACGAUUUAUAACAUAUGAUUUUUUUGUCAGACAGGGAUAAAACUAAGAAAGAUAAAAGAUUUUUUUUAGGUGUUUUUGCUUCAUUUAGACAUGAAAAGGGAAUAACGGACGACUAAAUUAGAGAGUUUAUUUUCACAUAGUACAUUGAACUUGCAAAUAUAUCUGAUUUAACAUGUUUUGAUCGGGCCAAUUAAACCUAGUUUAAUACAGUUUUGUUCAUUGAAGUUUUUAUUUUAAAGUAAACAAAUAAGGAAAGAUCUAUUAAUUAAUUUGAUUGAAAAGACAAAACUAAUUAUUUUGCAUUCGCAUGUAAAUUAAUGUAGAAAAAUUACCGAAUCAGAAAUUUAAUGAACAUUUACCCGAUGAAUACUGUGAAAGACUUUAUGCAUUUAUGUCUGUUCGAUAAGAAGUUAUAAAACAAGCUUUUUCAAAAGCUUAUUGUUUGAAAAGUUUACCUACUGUUUUCUAAGGUUUGAUCUUUCCGAGUCUAUUUCAUGAUUACUGACAGAUCAAAAACAUCAAGUAUAUAUAGCAAAAAGUUGUUGGGCAGAAUUUUUAUUGGUCAGUUUUAAAUGAGGUCUGUAUGGGAUUUUGAAUGCCUCAUUUAUUAGAUAAGAAAUCAUUAUUUUGAAGUUGGCAAAAAAUAUAAAUUUACCCCCUAAUUUUGUAAAACUAUCAUUUGGUGUUAUUUUAAUGACAAAAAGGGCUGUUCAAAUCCCUUUGUCCUUCGGGCUCGGGUUUCUGAUCCCCCCUUUUUGUUCGGAGGUCUUUUAAUAUCAAUAUUAACUUAUCAUUGAACUUUUACUAUUACAUAAGAUUGUAUAAAUUGCAGUUACAGCGAAAAUUUGAAAAUUGAAAUUAUAUCUCCGAGGUCUCGAUUUUCACAAUCUUAUGCUAAAUUGAAACUCGAUUGAUAAUACAUUAUGUAAUUAAAAAAAAACAGAGUAAUACAUGUUGAACCUAUCUGUUUUUAUCCAGAGCUAGGAACACGUUUCCGUAAACUUUUCAAUUUCAAUUAUUAUAGCGACAGAUAAUUUGUAAAUUUAAAGGUAAAAAAACAGAAUUUAUACAGACAACUUGCUUUUCGAAGACAUCUUACAGUUGAAUCCCAUAUAAAUUGUAGAAGACAUUUUUUUCAAAAGUCUGUGAAAACUUUUCUUAUUUGUUGAUUGGAAUUUAUAAAGUUCGUUGAAGUGUUCUGUGCAAAUAUAGGGUAAAAUUGAACAAUUUCCAAACGAUACCCUAUAUUUCCUAUGAUAUAUCAUACAAUGACCGUACCAGCCAAUGACAUGGGUGUUAUAACAAGGAAGUCACCAUGAUGAGUUUAUUUUCGCAUUGAUCACGUCGUUCAAUUAUACUUAAUACGAUUCACGUCGAAUAAACAAUACUAUGGAUAAGAUCUUUCUUUUUAAAUCAGUGAUCUAUAUUAAGCUAUUACAGUUUUUAUUUGUAUUUAAUUAACAACGCUUACCUUUAAAAAAAAGAAUAAAGGAUAUACUUAUAUUCUAACUAGUACAUGUCUGCAUAUUUUGAUUUAGCAAGUACGGGAUAUCUAAUCUGACAAACCAAGCCCUUUACUGGUUGCCUAUUUAUUUAAAAUGCAUGAAAUAUUUGUCAUAUAUAUAUCGCUUGAAAUUGAUUCAAAAGCAAUCAAUAGAUCUAUAUAACAAACAAUGUUGCUAUAUUUUAUUGAUUAAGACACAUACAUAGACGAGGCAGGUUAAACCAGGAAUUACAACGCACUAAACGUUAGAGAGUUAGAAAUGGUGCAGAAAAGAUCAGCACGCUUUGUAACAGGGGACUACAGAACCACCAGUAGUGUUACCCAGAUGUUUGAAAACCUGCAAUAGAUUGAAUUACAAGAACGUAGAAAGAGAGUCAAGACCAUGAUGCACUAUCGCAUAAUACACCAUCUUGUUGCAAUACCACCUGAGCAAUACUUAAUACCGAGAAGUGUAGCAUUAACAACUAGAGGACAUGACACCAUAAUCCUACUACCCUACUCGAGAAUAAAAGAAACACCAGCAAUCAUUUUUUUUCCAUCUGUUAUUCGUCUGUGGAAUGAACUAUCAUCUGCUGUCGUCACAGCUUCCACUUUGGAAGGUUUCAAAGACAGCCCCCAGACACCUGCUUCAUGUUAGAUAUUUCAAUUUUAAUUGUAUAUAACACUACGAUGGCUUUUAACCGGAUUUGUGUAAAUAGUAUGUUGGAAAGAUGUUUCCUUUGGCCAUGUGUAAAUAGUCAUUUGCGAUAAUACAUCAGAAGUGGUAUGCAAAUUAUUGGAAGAAGGAGAAGAAGAAGAAGAACACAUAUUACAGAUACAGAUAUUCCUGAGCUAAUAAAUGUAUUUUCGAGUCAAAGAUAACAAUAAUUAAUGUAAUUUAGUCUCAACAUUGGCCUUCAAAAACAAUUACUUAACGUUUAAUGCCGUAGUUUGUUUUGUUUUCGUUUUAGCUAGGCGCGUGUUAGGCUCUAUAUAUCAUCAUCAACAACAACAACAAUACUUUUUUUUAAGAGGGUUACACAGCUAGCUAGAUAAGUAAUCUUCCAUGAGGCCCUCAUCAAGAAAAAUCAAUCAAAAUGCAAACAUAUUCAUUGCAUACAUUUGUAUAAAGAGUCAAGUAUGAUAAAAAAAAAAUCAAUACAACUUGAUAAAAUGUUAUGAAAACAUAAACAUGAUGACAUGAUCAGUUUUCAAUAUCAUUUAUACAGCUAGGUUGAUUUUAAUGAAUUAUCUUUAUUUUUUAUUUGAAAGAAUUAACAUUUGUAAUAUUUCUUAACGAUAUUGGCAAAUUAUUCCACAAGAAUGGUCCAGAAUACAUAAAAGAUUUUUUUAACAAUUCUGUUUUUGAUUUAGAGAAUAUGAGGUUUCCUUGAACAACAUUUCUCAAGGGGUAUGGAUUUCUGUCUGAAACAUACUGAAACUUAUAAGUAAGAUAUGAUGGGGCUUGUGAUAUUUAAUUCGCUGUUCGAACUCUCAUCCAGUUUAAAUGUUUGAAUAAGUACUCGGACGGAGUGAAAGUGUCUGUUUCUCAGUUUUUCAGAAUAAGCAUUACUAUUUUGUACUUGUUGAGUUCUUUCAUUCUAAUACGAUUGAAAUAAAGAAACAACAGCAUUAAUCCAUCAAUUUAAAGUUCUUUUACAGAGAAUAUCAUGAUCUAGUAAAUCAAAAGCUUUCUUAAAAUCCAACAGGACUGCUAAGUUGAUAUUACCAUCAUUUAUAUCCUGUAUCCAUUUAUCUACGACAUUGAUAAGGGAAGUCUGACAAGCGUGUUAUUGUCGAAACCCAGACUGUGCAGAUUGUAAAAGAUCUAAUCGUUUUUAGAUAGUCAUACACAUGUUUUGAAACAUGCUUUUCUAAAAGUUUUGAUAAAACAGGAAGUACAUGCCUUUUAUAGCUGACUAUGCGGUAUGGGCUUUGCUCAUUGUUGAAAGCCGUACGGUGACCUAUAGUUGUUAAUGUCUGUGUCAUUUUGGUCUUUGGGGAUAGUUUUCUCAUUGGCAAUCAUACCACAUCUUCUUUUUUUUUUAUUGUCCUUAAUUUGUUGCUAUGAAUUUUUCACCAGCUUUAAAAACAGGGGUUACUCUUGCAAUCUUUAGAACACUGGGUAAUAUACUUGUAUCUAUUAUUCUGUUAUAAAUGUAAGUUAAAGAUGAAGUUAUGAAAGGAGCAUUCAAUUUUAAAAUGUUUGGUCCUAUGUUACAAGUUUGGUCAUCUCAUUUAAUAGAUCAUUUAUUGAGACUGGUGGAAUUGAAAUUUUACAUGUUCUGACUUACUAAAUUUCUUUUGUACAAAUUGAGUUAAUUUUGCAUAAUCAUGAUUUUUGCAUACAUAUGUCAAUCUCCGGUUUUCUACACAUGAAAAACGUAUUAAAACAUUACAAAUGUCACUGACAAUAUAAGUUUUAACAUCAUCUUAUUAAAAGGUUCAUAUGUAUUUUUUUUUGUUUGGAUGGGUUAAGACUGUGAAUAUAUUUUCACAAAUCUUUCGAAGUUUUUGAAUUUUUUACAAUCUUUGAAUACAAAUUUCAUCGAUUAUGUGUUUAGGCCUGUUUCACCAAAAUUUGAACUCAGACCACAUUCCUAAUUUAUGGUAUUGAACAAUUAUUUUACAAUUAAAUCAAAUUAUAAGAAAUCCAGGGUAAAUCACUAGUUACGAAAGCAACUUUGUCAAUUUCAAUUUGAUAAAGCAGUAGGGUAAGGACCAAUUUUGGCCUCAAAUUUCAGGUUCAUCUCACGAAAGAUUUUGACCACUUUUUAAACACUUAAGUGUCUAUUUUAUUUGAAUUAAUUAGUUUAUAUGAAAGAUUUUAACAGAUUUAGUCAUUAAAAACGAUCCGAUUCAAGCUCAAAUAUGAAAAUCUACCUAAUAUGCCGAAAAAUGUCACUUUUCAGAUGGUUUUUGCUAAAAAUGAAAGUGGCCGCAUCCGUUCAUCCAACCUUUAAUAUGUUAUGUAUUAUCUUAAAAUACAACUAACAUUUCAAUAUUAAAGAUGAACACGAAUGGCCACUUUCGUUUUACACGAAACCGUCUAAAAUUUAACUAAAAUGCUGAAUUAUGAGGUUUCAGUAAUUUAGCAGACUUAAUGUGCUAGUACCGGAUAUAUGUGCAUUGUAUUGUCAAAAACAGCCCAUAUUUAUGUAUCAGAAGCAUUCUACUGUCCAAUAAAUAACUAAGGGUUUACAUUUUAACAAUUUUGUAAAACUGCUAUAUUUUGGGGCCAAAAAGGGGUCUUACUGAACCUACUCCUUUUCCAUGUUUUAAUGAUUAGCAUAAAUAAGCUUAAGUUUACCAGGUUAGAAAAACAGAAAGAUUUCAAAAGAGGGUCAUUCAAACUCAUAAAUAAAGAAAAACUGACAACGCCAUGGCUAAACAAAAUCAAACAAACAAACAAUACUACACAAAACGCAACAUAGAAAGAUAAAGACGAGCCACAUAAAAAGCUGUUGGAUAGGGAUCUCAGAUGCUCGACAUGUUGCUCUUGCUAGCCGGUAAUUAGUCAAAUCGGUAGAUCAUAUUGGUGAAAAAGGAACGGGAUUGUAGCUACGACAUUAGGAACAUAUUCGAUGUAAUCAGUGAAAUGGAUAUUCAACCAAAUCGUGUUUGCGUCAGUAAAAUUGACGAAGGGCUGACCUCAACUUCACUAUUUGAAACUCUUGAUUUAUAAGCUUUCUUGUGAGCAGCAACCCUCUAUAAAAAAUAAUGAUAGGAAAUACCAGCUUUGGAAUAUCGUAUCAUUUUGAUAAAUAUACUCCGUAUGCAGGAGCUUAAGUCAAGAUAUGAGGCAUACUUAAAAGAAGGACGAAAGAUACCAAAGGGACAGUCAAACUCAUAAAUCUAAAACAAACUGACAACGCCAUGGCUAAAAAUGGAAGAGACAAACAAACAACAGCACACAUGACACAACAUAGAAAACUAAAGAAUAAAAACAAGAACCCCACAAAAAAACUAGGAGUGAUCUCAGCUGCUCUGGAAGGGUAAGCAGAUCCUACUCCACAUGUGGCACCCGUUGUGUUGCUUAUGUGAUAACAAAUCCGGUAAAUAGUCUAAUUCGGUAGGUCACAUUCAUGAAAGGGAAGGGGAUUGUAGUAAAUAAGGAACAUAUCCGAUAUCAUUUGUAAAACGGUUAUUCGUUAUAUGAAGGCGUCCGUAAAAUUUACGAAGGGAUGAUUUCAACUUCACCAUUUGGAACUCUUGAUUUAAUAGCUUCCUUUGAGCAGCAACCCUCUAUCAAGAAAAGGAUAGGAAUGCAAGCACUGGAAUAUCGUAUCAAUGAGAUAUAUACCCCGUAUGCAGGCUGCUGCUGAAUGUUGCUACUUAGAAAUGAAAAUUCACAAUUGGAAAGCUGAAAUAUUCUUUUGUCGUAAAGUUUUGUUUUCAACCGACCCUCAUUGUCAAUUUCUAGAUGUAAGUAAGAAAUGAGCCGACUUAACUGGUAUCAUAUAGUAUCCUUCAUCUCUAGCUCAAUGGAAUAGAUGCUUCCAAUAGUCACCAAUUUGAAUUAUUUAGUGAAAGAACAUCAUCUAUAUAGCGGAAAGUAGAGUUAAAGGAUAUUGCUAACUUUUUCUCUUUCUUCCUAAGAAGUUCCUGCAUGAAGUCAGCCUCAUAAUAAUAAAGAAACAAGUCGGCAAGUGGAGGGCACAGUUUUUUCCCAUUGGAACACCAACAGUCUGUUGAAAAACACGUCCUCCGAACGUAACAAAUAUGUUGUCAAUCAAGAAAUCAAGCAUCCUGAUAAUAUCAGUUUCAGAGAAUUUUUUGUUUAAAUCAGAGUGAUCCUUUACAAAGUAGGAUUUAUCCCUCCCUAAGACAAGAUACUUGUAUCAACGUUGGCCAUUCUUUUUUAUGAAGCAAAGCAUACCACUCUUCAAUUCGUCUCUUAGUUUGGAAUGGGGAAUCUUGUGUAAAGGAGUAGAAAAGUCAUAUGUUUUAAUAACGUUACAAGAUCAAAGGAGUUAAUUGUAUGUCUAAAAUAUAGUUGGACUUUUUAAGUAUCCACAUCUGAUUCAGCCCUCUCUAGAUAGGCAGUUAACAAUAACUUUGAAGCCCGUCUUUGAUUGCUAAUAAAAAUAGAUUUAAUAAUUUGAAAGAGGUUUCGUGGGCACUUGAAGACACAAUAUACGUUGUUUGUAAGGACACUUAUGUUGUGUAGUAUCCAUACAGUGAAUGGAAGAUCCAGUUCUUCAUCUUUGGUUGAAGUUCCAAAGGAACACAGAACAGAUCUAAGAUUAUCCAGGAUUUCCUCUUUUGUAAGUGUCUUGAGGGUAUAUGUUGAGUUUCCAAGUGAAUUGUCAAUACCUAAUCCGUUUAUCAAGCAGUUAAUGUAAUGAGUGUAAUAAGUUUUACACACAAAAACGAUGUUGUUUGGGGCUUUCUCUGCGGGGACAAUAACAUAUUUGUCAUGGAGGUAGGAUAGGUGUUAAGCAACAUUUGGGUCUUUAAAGAUUGGCGUAGCAUGGGCAUUGAUAGACCCAUUCAGUUCCUUAAUUCUGAUUUGUAUCAACGACCUCACUGCUUUAUCCAUUUCGAAAGAGUGUCUACGUCUUCCUUCUCGCGCUGAGCCCUUGCCUGGCAUAAUCUCAACUGAGUCCAUCAAAAUUUUAAAGUUGUAUUUCCAAUUGAUGGAUUUAGGCUCACGAUAUUUCGGACCUUUCGAUAACAUAUUUCGUAGAGAAGUGUUAUUAACAAUGUUGAGGUCACCGGUAAUAACGUGACCAGCAGGAUUAUAUGUGAAUUGGGAACUAGCACAAGUGCAAUCAGGAGUUUGGACUUGAGUCGUCAAUAUCGAGAUCCUGCAAAACGUGUUUGUAAUUGAAAAUUUUAGUUGCAAUAGGUUUGGUAUAGGUAUAAGAAAUGAUUGGUACAGAAUGGUCUUUGAAAUAAGGAGGUAUUUUCGAUUGAACUAAUUUAUGAUGAAGGAUAUUGCCUAAGUUGACGCCAUCGAGACCUUUGUUGCAAAGGAAAGAUUAAGGAAAGAUCUUUUCUCUUUUUCAUCUUUGCCAAUGCGGACUGGCUUGAAAAGUCUGUGACUUGCAAUAUCCGAAAUUAUAGCCUCAAGUUUGUAUUGGUUUGAAUGAGGGUUUGUAACAGUGGAUUUCAAACAUAAAUUGAACAUAGAAUGAAGUUUUGAAAGGGGUAAUGAAUAAAGUUUCGUGCGGAUGUGAUGAAUACUUAACGGCUUUUGUAUAAAUGGAAGCAAGUCAUUAAUAGAUACAUCAUGCAGAGAAGGUGAUGUAUAAUGACAAUGACCAUGACUGCGUCUAUGUCGAGGAGUCGAGUUGAAAAUAUUCAUCACAUUCACCGAGUUACACGAAGGACUAGAUAGAAUACACUUAACUGUAUCUGUCAUAUCCUUUAUCUCUUUCAGUGUAAAAUAUAGCAGGGGUUUCAAUAUAAAUAACAAAAUGAGGUAUACGUACCAAUCAAACCACCCUCCACAGUAUAAAGCAUGGUAAACUAUUUUAUUAUGUCUUCCAAUAGUCUAAUAAUAUAACCUUGAAAUCGUAAAAAAAUAACUUCUGUUUAAGUCCAUAAAAAGAAUCUUUUGGGUGAUUUUUUUAACUGUAAACGGAGUUGAACUAUGUUCAAAGAACAUGUCUCUAUUUAGACUCAUUUAGACAUUAUCCUUUGAUUGAUUACUAACCAUACAUAGUACUGUAUUUUACAGGUCAGACGUGUUUAGAUGGUUAUAGCCUAUGUUCAGGAACUUAUUGGUGCUGUGCUGAUGGUUACGUUUGCACUGGGUCAUCAACCUGUUUAUCCAUUGG